AGUAUGUGUGUACUGUAUGCGCACCAUCUGAUUUUUGUAACCGCACAUAUUUUGGAUGCACAGGUUGCACAUGCGCAUUGACUUGGUUUU
Sinocyclocheilus anshuiensis is the source of this 90-nucleotide long non-coding RNA. RefSeq lists it as uncharacterized. The transcript is spliced from 3 exons. NCBI's taxonomy places the organism in Eukaryota, Metazoa, Chordata, Actinopteri, Cypriniformes, Cyprinidae. The record is from RefSeq and is a predicted model, not a curated record.